RNAcentral lists this non-coding RNA (31 nucleotides) under Rattus norvegicus (Norway rat). The record is from RNAcentral. Lineage: Eukaryota; Metazoa; Chordata; Mammalia; Rodentia; Muridae.
UNCUACUGCCUCUUUAGUUCUUAUUUCGAGA